Molecule: long non-coding RNA, 3020 nt
Filed under: Triticum aestivum (bread wheat)
Lineage: Eukaryota; Viridiplantae; Streptophyta; Magnoliopsida; Poales; Poaceae
Description: long non-coding RNA (TAES_LNC001725)
Source: RNAcentral
GUCAUGCUUGCAGAAACAGCAUAGAUCUUUUCACAUUUUCUGGAUUUAUUCAUGCCCGUGGAGUUUUUGUGCCCAUCAUAUGUAGAUCUUUUAUUGGUAAGUUUGGAUGUUGUAGACUGAUCCGCUUUGGUAAGUCAUGUUUGCCUGCAGGGUGAUGACGUUUAUGCAUCUAGGGAACCAUGGAGAUUUUACCAUGUGAUAUUUCCUCAAGCAAACUAAGUUAUUUUGCAAUUUGCUGCUCAAGUUGUGGCUCUUCUGCAGGUAUGUCAUUGUGGUCCUUUCCACUAUAUUUAUUUGACGUAUAUGCUUCCAGACAAUAACUUAGGUUUUGUACUACAUGGUAAAUGAAAUGAAAUUUCUAAUAUGCUAGAACGUACAAUGGUAAUUGUUAGUUUCAUUAGUAUUUCUCGGCAAACCCUUGUUCUUUCUUGGUCUGCUGAAAAUAAUUGUUAUCAGUUUUUCUUUACAUUGUCUAUAGAGAAAGUGAUGUUUUUAAGAGAUAUUUCUGUAACAUGAGCAAUGGUGCUUACUUCUUAUAUCCCAUAUAUUGUUGAAUUAUGUGCUUAUGAGGAAAAACGGUCAUGGCGGUCCUGCACAAGUGGAUGAAUGACUGGAAGGGGCGGCACCACGACGGUUAAGGUGGUUUAUACCCAGCCAGGGAGGACGACCCCCUGCAAUGGGCACGGAAAAAUGUUGCAGCAGCGAACGAGGAGGCGGAGAUGCGCAAAGCAGAGUAGGAAAAACGUGCUCUGGUCCUCCUCCAAGCCCGUCGGUGACUCCCUAACAUGGUACGAGAUUGUUACCCCCUGCCGCGUCAUCAUUACUUGAAGUACAAGGAACCUGACAACAGUGUGAGUGCAUUAUUUCUGUUAUAUCUAUAGUGCUUCUCUAUCUUUGAUCAUACAUAUGCAACAGCCAGAUAAUCUUAAGAAAAGGGCAGGAGAACUGCCUAUUCAUGAAGCUGAGAUUGGUUAAAAUUUAUAGUGCGUCUCUGAAUUUAAAGGAACAAGGCCUAUAACCCAACAAGCCAAAGAAACUACUUGUCCUCAAUUGCUCUGCUUGCCUACAUAAUAAUAGGCCCUAAAGUUAAUCUCUUGCCAAGCUAAAUGACCAACAUGUUCACCUGGAGACCUCCCUGUAAAUGACUGUAUCAACUAGACAGCAGAACAAGGAAGUAGGAAGAAGGCAAUAAGCAAUUCAUAUGGAUUAUCCCUGAAUGUUAUCCUGGAGUCUGAUGUACAUAAUUUUUUUAUUGCUUAAUUAAAUGGCAGAGCUCCGGCCUUUUUCUGCCAAAAAAGACAUGGCCAUUCCCUUGAGUAGUUGCAUAAAAAACAUGGACAAACAUGAGAGAAGAAAAUAGAAAAUAUUGUUAAGCUUUGUUUGUUAUUAGUUGCAUAAUGAAGAUUGAAAUUUGAUAGUUCGCUUCCUCUCAAUGUCUCCAUCUUACUAUCUUUGUUUGCAAAGUUAAAUAAACCUGUGUCACUUUGAGGCUACAAUUAGUGACGAUGCCUGACCUACAUGAUUAGCAUACAAAAUAAGAAAAUGGAAUGGUUUGUUACCCUUUUGAUUUCUCUGUGGAUCAAUGGUUACUUUGCAUUCAAUUUGGACCCAUUAAAAAAUCAUUUUGCAAAAUACCAUGUGGGAUAACUUAGCUGUUGAAAAUUUGCAUGCAUAUGAUUUUUAGUAGAGUUAUACAAGUUGUUACAUAAAUGUUAAUUGCCAUUUAGAUGUAACCAAUCACGAGGACUAGGAUGUUGAGGAAGAUGGUGAAUGGGCAGCUCCAACCAUAUGCAAAAGGAACAAUUUCAAAUCCUAAGUGCAAGGACCAUGUACGCAAAAGGUAUAACUGCAAUUGUACGACUAGAAUGGUAACUGUUCUAGACAAGCGAACACAAACAUUGUUGAAGUUGCACGUAUGUGUAAAUUUUUGUGUUGGGAAAACAUUCAGAUUGGAGGUGAACGAGGAUGACUCAAGCAUUACAAAGAACAGUUGGUAAACAAUGUACCGGUAUCAGCUGACCUUAUGUAUAUUGCGGUGUCAGUGCCAUACUUCUGUACAUAAAACGAUGGAACCGGCAUCAAUCACGUGAACGGGCAUGUUGAUUUAGUUUUCCUGUCUACGUGCCUUGAGCAUUUCUUCCUCUAUACCAGGCAAUGAUUGAGGAUUCACGGAUAUAUUGAGAUCAACUUUUCGAUGCAAUUUGGAUGAUCAAAUCACACCACUAUCUGAGCAUAUAUAAGAUGUUCGCAUAGUAAGUUUUAAUGUAUGAUUGUUUUCAUAUACCCUUUUACUUUUUAAUCCAGUUCAGGUGAAAAAUAUUGUUUAGAUGAUUGUGAAAAUGCAGGCUACAUUUUUAAAUGUUCAUAAGGUUUGUGAACAUACAAUUUACUACAUGAAGGAUGUGCCUGGCUUCCAUGUUGAAGUAGUAGGACUAUUUCCACAUAUGCGAGAGAAGAACUAUGAUCGGGUAAACUGAACCGCACUGGUGCUAAUUUUAUCCUUUGUUUAUUGUAUCCAAAAUAUGAAUUCUGUUGGUUGCAUCAUUUCUUUUGACAGAAUCAUUCUCGUGUAAUUUGUGCAGAGGUACUAUGUAUGCUUGAUCCAAUUUAGACAUCAACAAUUAUGUAUCUAAAAGCUGGAGUGCUCCUUGAACAUUGUACUGUAUAUAUGAUUGAAAUGAGUUGCAUGUUGUCGGUGACGGCGAGUUGAACCAAUGGAAGUGGUUGUAAUGGUAAGAUAGAGAAGAUGGCCGUGGGAGAAAAAGAGGACGGCAGUAAUGGUAAAGAAGAGAAGAUCAUUGAUGUAAAAGGAGGACAUGUGUUGGACCUAGCAUGUCUAAAUACAAGCAUGUGGUCAUAAGUAUUUUCUUUUCCUUACAAACGAGAGUUGGUUAUUUGGCUUCACAACCUCCAUAUUUCAAUUUGGCAUGCAACGACAUGUACAUGCAUGUUUUGUCCUCAGGUGAAGACUUUAAUUGGUUAGUCUAUUAGUCUAUUUUUUCAAACGGAGGCAAAAGAUU